RNAcentral lists this ribosomal RNA (562 nucleotides) under uncultured Prevotella sp. Its description in RNAcentral is "bacterial SSU rRNA". It matches the Rfam family "Bacterial small subunit ribosomal RNA", at positions 75 to 636 of the family's 1533-position model. Lineage: Bacteria; Pseudomonadati; Bacteroidota; Bacteroidia; Bacteroidales; Prevotellaceae. The record is from RNAcentral.
CUUGCAUUCUUGAUGGCGACCGGCGUACGGGUGAGUAACGCGUAUCCAACCUGCCCAUCACUACGGGAUAACCCGUUGAAAGGCGGACUAAUACCGUAUGAUAUCGUUUGAUGGCAUCAGAUGACGAUUAAAGGUUUAGCGGUGAUGGAUGGGGAUGCGUCUGAUUAGGUAGUUGGUAAGGUAACGGCUUACCAAGCCUUCGAUCAGUAGGGGUUCUGAGAGGAAGGUCCCCCACAUUGGAACUGAGACACGGUCCAAACUCCUACGGGAGGCAGCAGUGAGGAAUAUUGGUCAAUGGGCGAGAGCCUGAACCAGCCAAGUAGCGUGCAGGAUGACGGCCCUAUGGGUUGUAAACUGCUUUUAUACGGGGAUAAAUGACGCCACGUGUGGUGUUUUGCAGGUACCGUAUGAAUAAGGACCGGCUAAUUCCGUGCCAGCAGCCGCGGUAAUACGGAAGGUCCGGGCGUUAUCCGGAUUUAUUGGGUUUAAAGGGAGCGUAGGCCGUCUGUCAAGCGUGCUGUGAAAUGUACCGGCUCAGCCGGUGACGUGCAGCGCGAACUGU